Rattus norvegicus (Norway rat) is the source of this 4127-nucleotide long non-coding RNA. RefSeq lists it as uncharacterized. Lineage: Eukaryota; Metazoa; Chordata; Mammalia; Rodentia; Muridae. The record is from RefSeq and is a predicted model, not a curated record.
UCUGGAGAAAUGGAUGGAAAUGGGGGAGAGAAAGAAAGCAGACAGUGUGUGUAUGGACAGAGUACAUUAAAUACUCAUAUGCAAAUGUCUUUAUGUCAUCAACCGCAAAGUACAAUAAGUACAUCACAAUAAAAAUUUAUAAUAGGCUUCCUCCACUGGGUACCAGCUCUGCUGAAAGCAAACAGUGCCAUUACCAGUACCAGAACUAGAACCAGAACCAGAACCAGAACCAGAACCAGAACCAGAACCAGAACCAGACCUGGGUUACCAGGAUAUGUGCAGGGAAUGCCAUGCCAUCUGCCUCUUCUUGGAGUACACAGAUUAAAGCUAACAGGAGAAGAAGUGUACUAUGGGGAAUGCUCCCACAGGAGCUGGGGACUACAUUCAUGCUGGGCCUGGGCUUUCCAAUUACUCUUCUUCAUUGGCAGAUGACACAAGAUCACAAGAGGGCUGCCAUCCUGAACUCCAUUGCCCACAAACACAACCUGUGUGGAAAGACAGAGGAGGAGAUUCAUGUGGGCAGUAUGGAAAAAUCAAGUUAUGGACACCUACAUGAAUCUUAUGUUCUGUGACAAAGUUGAAUGUGAGAAGAAGCCAGAGUACUUACUGGAUCUCCCUGCAAGGAUGAAGUUCUGUUUCAGAUUCCUGAGGAAGCAGCCACAGAUGCUGUGAUGAGACAACCUUUGUGGAUUAACUUAACUAUGACUGUUUUGUCUUGACCAGGAACAUGGUUAAACUGAAAUUCCUAGACAUAUUCCUAACCCCUGAAGGACUUAAUGGCCCUCUUUGGAGGAUUAUAGAAGAUCUUUACACACAUGAAAUACAGCCACUUCUUUUCAGUCUUUCUGUAUUUGAAGACAACCCUAUGGGAUAAUCAUGAGACCCUGUAAUACCAAGCAGGAGGAGAAAUCCUUGACUAUGCUUGCUCGCCCUUGUAGGGCACAGUUGGGUCCCUGCAUCCCUGGACACAAGUCUCUGGACAAAAUGACUAUGGCAGAAAUAUCAAGUAAAGAGUGAUGUUUGUGCUAAGAAAAUAGAUAUCUUCCAGGAAAGAGAGGAGGUAAAGAAGACUUUGUGACAUCAGCUGUUCUUGGAUCUCAAGCUUGCUGGCCUUCAGCCUAGAACUUCACUGUUCUGAUCCUCCUUUCAGCUCACCCACAGCACUGACCUGUGUCCACCGUCCACCCUGCAAGAGAGCUGCUAGAAUCAAGAGCAUGGUUAUCAGUGAAGAUCAAAGACUCAUCUUUUGGGUUUGUUGGUGUUCCCACUUGCCAACUAUCUUGAAAAUUGUAUUUCUGGUCAUUUUGGAUCUUUGAAUUCUGACUGGAUAGUGUCAUGAUACUUGAGAAGGCUGUGAGAACUAUGUUAAUCAUAGGCCUACUAAACUGUCUUAUGGGGUUAUGCUACGUGUUCCUUACAAGCAUGCUACAAGCUGAUCCAAAAUUUCCAAUACUACCUAGAGAUUUUCAGGAAAGAGGGAUACAUCAGUAUAUAUUAGUAUAACCCUCAGAAGCCUUAAAGCAAAUCUCACCUUCUAAAAAUAGCUUAAACUGCCUUCAUGAAAGAUUAUAGAAACUGAUUCAAAUGGGACGAGGAAUAUGCCCCUAACUCUGAGGAUGGAAUUCCAGUCCCCACUUCAUCUGAUCCCCAUUACAGCUGACCCACAACACCAACCUGUGCCCACCAUCCACCCUGCAAGAGUGCUGCUAGAAUCAACAGCAUGGUUAUCAGUGAAGAUCAGAGACUCAUCUUUGGGGCCUACUGGUGUUCGCAUUUGCCAACUACCUUGAAAAUUGUCAUUCUUCAUAAUUGAAUGAGCCAAUUCAUUAUAAAGUCAUUAUCUAUAUAUCAUAUCUAUCUAUCUAUCUAUCUAUCUAUCUAUCUAUCUAUCUAUCUAUCUAUCUAUCUAUCUGUCAUCUACCUAUAAUCUACCUAUCCCUGUCUCCACCUUAAUGAUUCUAUUCUUCACCAAACACCUAGGUAAUAUAAGGCUAUUUGUCUUCUCUGUUGUUGCCCUCUCUUGUUCUCUCCUUCUCACAAAAAAAAUCUUCUAUCAUCAGAUUUUUGGUGAAGGCAAUUGAGCAUUGAUGACCUUUGUGUUCAUUUCAAAGAACCACGACACAGUCCACAAACUGGGAAUAAAUGCAAUAGAACUUUUUUCUCCCCCAGUAUGGAGUUCAAAUAGGUUUUAGCAACACCAAACCCUUUCUAACAGCUUUAGGGAAAGAUUUAUUCUUGCUUCUUUCAGCCUUUCGCAAACUCUAAACGCCUUGAUUUUCUGUCUCUCAGCCUCUUUCCUCCAGUUUCUGCCUUCACCUUCAUAUGGUUAUCUUUCCUUUCCUUGUGUCUUUGUGUCUCUGGUUUCUCUUCUAAGGAUACCUACCAGUCUUUGAACAUAGUUAAGUAUGAGCUCUUCUUAGCAAGCUACAUCUGAAAAAUCCUUAUUUCCCAAUGAAUCUACAUUAUGAGCUUCUGGAUUAACAUUGGUUGGGGAUAGGGGUCGGCAUUAAUCAACUCGGUGAAGCUUUCCUUCUAAGACUCAGCUAUCAAAAGACAAAAAUCUAACAACUCCUUCAGGUCAUUUCUAGUCGAUGCCAGACCUAUCACUCAUACACGUACACUGUGGCGCACAGAACCAACUGUCCAUGUGCUUGAACACAGAGGAGGAAGAAGAGGAUAAAAUAAAGAGAAAUAAUAAAUGUUGUUUUAAAACAAUUUUCAAUAUAGUUGCAAGAAAUUCCUAUUAGAAAUGACCAUUCAGUAAAGUACUUAUAUUGGUUUGCUCAAGUGAUUUGCCACUUCAAGAUCUCCUAUGGUAGAAAGGGGUCAUACUAGUCUACCUUUAGUUCUAAAGACACAUUCCAGGUUAUAGAACAACACAGAUGAGCGUGAAAGUUGCAGAAACUGCCUAAUGUCUUGCUUCUAGCCCACCCUUCAUUCAAUCUGCUGUAGCUCUGAUGUUGUAUGCUUUGGCAACCAAAAAUUCUCAGCGAGAAAAGUCAACGUUCCUCAGAGAAUGCCAAUUAUUUUCUUGCCAAUGUAAUUCACUUCCAGUUUUUAUUCUAUUCAUAACUCAUGGUUUGUGGUGAGUACCAAAAAGAUAAGGAAAGAAAAGGCAUUGCAUAUGACUUUUGAAGUCAUUUUGGGUACUUGAAGGAGGUAGAGGGUUGUCCCACCAAAACGAGCUCACUUCUUGGUAUAGGUCUAUAAGUGUGAAAGAUGCAAACCUACUCCCAUUCCCAAAGUCUACCUUCCUCAGUCCUCAAAAAUGAAAAAUAUAAAUCUAACUAUAGAGCAAUAACCCCAUUUAUAUGCUACAAGUAAUGCCAUAUGACAUCAUUAGUCUUAUAUCUUAGCAUUACACACACACAUCUGCUGAGCUUAUAAGACCAGGCCAUCAGACCUAGACUGUACAGUACACUGUAAAGGCACAUAAAAACUCCCUUCUCUGUGGGUCUUUGAGAACCUGUAAAAGCAUAGAGCACACAGCAUGCAAAGCAUAAGGAAAGUGUCACAGCCAAAAGGAGCCCACGAAGACAUGGCAAAUAAGUAGAACUCAGAAAACUCAAUGGCAAGAUAUAAUCUAAAGAUAACCUUAGGUCAAAAAUUAUAAAGCUUGAGUAAAUUGUGGCAAUCAGCACUGGUGUUCCAGUGUUGGUUCACUACUUGUAACAAAUAUACCAUAGUCACACCAGAUAUUAAUAACAGAGAACAACAGCUGAGUUCUUGGGAAUUCUGAACUACCUUUGCAAGCUUGAACUAGAUCAAUUACUACUGUCUUAGGACUUCUCAUACUGUGGAGAGACACUAUGAUCACAGCAACUUUUAUAAAAGAAAACAUUUACUUGGCACCUGUUUACUGUUUCAGAGGUUUAGUCCAUUGUCAUCAUGACAGGAAACAUGGUGGCACGCAGGCAGACAUGACGCUGGAGAAGGAACUGAGAGUUCUCCUUCUUGAUCUUCAGGCAGCAGAAGACUAUGUAUCAUACUGAUCAACCCUGAGCAUAUGAGAACACAAAGCCUGCCUUGACAAUGACGCACUCCCUCCAACAAGGUCCAUACCUACACCACAAAGCCACACCUCCUAGUAGUGACACUCCCUAUGGUCCUAUGGGGGCCAUUGUAUU